GACGACGCUGGCGGCGUGGAUUAGGCAUGCAAGUCGAACGGUAUCAUCCUUUCGGGGGUGAGAGAGUGGCGAACUGGUGAGUAACACGUAGGUUAUCUACCCUCAAGACGGGGACAACCCAGGGAAACUUGGGCUAAUACCGGAUGUGAGCAACUUUUAGUUGUUUGAAAGGUGGCGUAAGCUGUCGCUUGGGGAUGAGCCUGCGUCCUAUUAGUUAGUUGGUGAGGUAACGGCUCACCUAGGCAAUGAUAGGUAGGCGGCCUUAACGGGUGGUCGCCCACACUGGGAUUGAGAUACGGCCCAGACUCCUACGGGAGGCAGCAGUCGAGAAUAGUCUACAAUGGUCGGAAGACUGAUAGUGCGACGCCGCGUGAACGAUGAAUCCCUUCGGGGUGUAAAGUUCUUUUAUAUGUGAGCAGUGCUUCCUAUAUUAACAGUAUGGGGAGAGAGAUAUUAGCAUAUGAAUAAGCAACGGCUAACUCCGUG
RNAcentral lists this ribosomal RNA (486 nucleotides) under uncultured bacterium. RNAcentral describes it as "bacterial SSU rRNA". It matches the Rfam family "Bacterial small subunit ribosomal RNA", at positions 33 to 507 of the family's 1533-position model. The record is from RNAcentral.